This 368-nucleotide ribosomal RNA is filed under the name uncultured organism. Its description in RNAcentral is "bacterial LSU rRNA". It matches the Rfam family "Bacterial large subunit ribosomal RNA", at positions 2099 to 2465 of the family's 2925-position model. The record is from RNAcentral.
CUUGACUGUAGCUUGGAAUUGGGUUCGGGCUCUUCUUGCGCAGCCUAGGUGGGAGGCGUUGAGAGCUUUCUUUUGGGGAAGCUGGAGCCAUCAGUGAGAGACCACUCUGGAGGAGCUAGAAUUCUAAUGGCGUUCCUUGAAGCAGGACGCUUGACAGUUUCAGGUGGGCAGUUUGACUGGGGCGGUCACCUCCUAAAAGGUAACGGAGGUGUGCAAAGGUUCCCUCAGGCUGGACGGAAAUCAGCCGUAGAGUGUAAAGGCAGAAGGGAGCUUGACUGCAAGACCUACAAGUCGAGCAGGGGCGAAAGCCGGCCUUAGUGAUCCGACGGUUCCAUGUGGAAGGGCCGUCGCUCAACGGAUAAAAGUUA